Molecule: ribosomal RNA, 250 nt
Filed under: uncultured bacterium
Lineage: Bacteria
Description: partial 16S ribosomal RNA
Rfam family: Bacterial small subunit ribosomal RNA
Source: RNAcentral
UACGUAGGGUGCAAGCGUUAAUCGGAAUUACUGGGCGUAAAGCGUGCGCAGGCGGUUCGUUGUGUCGGAUGUGAAAGCCCCGGGCUCAACUUGGGAAUGGCAUUUGAAACUGGCGGGCUGGAGUGUGGCAGAGGGGGGUGGAAUUCCACGUGUAGCAGUGAAAUGUGUAGAGAUGUGGAGGAACACCGAUGGCGAAGGCAGCCCCCUGGGCUGACACUGACGCUCAGGCACGAAAGCGUGGGGAGCAAAC